Brassica napus (rape) is the source of this 2163-nucleotide long non-coding RNA. RefSeq lists it as uncharacterized. Lineage: Eukaryota; Viridiplantae; Streptophyta; Magnoliopsida; Brassicales; Brassicaceae. The record is from RefSeq and is a predicted model, not a curated record. The transcript has 5 exons.
UAUAUAUAAAAAUGUGCCUCUCUCCUUAGAGAGCCACGUCACUAAAUCAAGCUCCCAUAGUCUUCCACGUGUCCAACGCUGCGUUUCAUUUGUUAAUUUUGUGGGCUUUUGGCAUGGCUGAAUAAACCCAUCCCUAAUUAUCUUCUAACAUGUCCAAUGGAAAAUUAGGGUUCAUCUCCGCCAUUGAAGAGAUCAAGUUGCUGAGUUCGAGUUGAUGAAUCUGUUCGUAGAUUUCGAUCACGUCGUCUGAUCUUAUUUCUCAUCAACCGAAACGCUCUCAGUUACAGAUUCAUCGCAUUAAACAUCUUCUUAACUCCAUCAACCAUAUCUAGCCUUGAAUGCGAAUUUCCCUUCUGCAAGGCGGUGUCACUGAGCGUAUAAAAGUUGCUGCGGUUAUGGGAGGCGAGAGACGUCAGGCGCGGUGGGGAUUUCUUCUCGCUGACAAAGGGAAACCGGAACUGUUACGGGCUACAUUCAACCGAUUCUUUUGGAUUUCUUCUUAGAUCGUUAUGGGCGUCGAUAUGCUCUCCUUGAUGCCAAGGAUAUUACUGAAGAAAAAAAAUCUUAUCCAUGCCCAACGGAGUGGUUAUUCGGUGUUGAUAUUGACAUAUUGUAAAGAAAUAGGAAGAGUUUUCACGGUUUCACAGCAAGCCCAAAUAUACUUUGUUUUUGUAUCAUCUGGAGAUUCCUUUGAGAAGAAGAGGAAUAGAGUUCUUUUGGUUCGAUGGGAAAUUGGGUCAGAAGUCCGAAGAGAAGGUGCUGAAGGAUUCAAUGAAACCAUCACAAAACAGUUCUGCUUCUGUCUCUGAAACCUGGAGUCGAAUUGAAUCUAACCGCAUUUUCACACGUCUUCUUAACGCGGAAGAGCAAUCGAUCAUAUGAGAACUAAUCGCGUAGACAUAGCAGCGACACUGUUUAGAGUUCCGUGAGUGAGAACAAGAUCGUAAUAGGCAGUACAAUGCCUGCUUUAUUGAAUCUUCUCUUGAACGGGACCCGAGAGCAGCUGUGGCAGCAUUGUUCAAUCUCUGCAUUGAUCAGGGAAACAAAGGCAUAGAGAUGAUAGCCGGCAUAGUAGCUACAUUGGUUGAGAUGCUAAGCUUUGAAGUUACAUGGCUGUGGUUCCCAUUGCUUGCACAAUGCCAAGAAUAUUGACAAAUCCCUCCGGCUUAGAAAGAAGGUCAAACCCACUCAGGGUUGUGAGGUUUCAGUUAAAGAAUAAUAAGAUGCCUGAGCCAAAAGUGCCGGUGAGGUUCGAUCUUGAUGAUCAUGAGCAGGAACCAAAAGAGAAGUCUGUGGAAGAAAGAGAGGGUUUGAAAACUGUUGAAUGGGAGGUGGAAGUUGUGAGGUUCAAAUCAAGCUGACGAAGAAAAAAGCUCUAACUAAGGCUAUUACAAACCAAGACGAAACCACGAAGAUCGUAUUAUUGUAUUUUAACUAGCGUGGAUCCGAUAGUUAGAGCUUUAUGUCGAAACCGAGAAGAUCGUAUUACUCCCUCCGAAGGUACUCCUUUCAAACUCAUUUAUUCGUUUCUUGCUUUUAGAUCGUACAUACAUGAUUCGAACUGUUCAAGAAAUGCAUCAAACAAUGUUGACCGUAUACUUCUUGCCCAUAGCGUUGUUCAUGGUGCAAUGGCAGGUUACACUAGCUACAUCAGUAGUCUUAUCAAAUGGAAGACAAACAUACAUUCUUUAAAGCGUAAGUUACUGACACAUAUCAAAUGGGUUUUUCGCUUUCAAUCCAGGAAGAAGCCGAGUUGUGAUUAUGGAUGUUUCAAUGGGAUAAUCUGGUUCGACAUAACAGAGGUCUUGGAAUCGCCCUGACCUGUUUUUUUUGUUGUGGUUGCAGAGUAUAACAUAGAAACAGAACAAUAUGGUGGUUACGGAUAGGAUGUGGACAAGGUUAAUGUUUUAGACGAAUCAGCUCAGUUUUUAGGCCCUACGGAUAUAAUCAAGGAGAAGAAAGAGGUGCCGGAAAAGCUACUUAAGAAAACUGGUAUGGAGUUUUUGAUUUUCCUACGGCUUCUUAAAAGAUCGCUAAGUGAAGCUCAGAAAAGCAUGUAUUUCUAAAACAUGUGAUAUUCAAAGUUUCUUUGAAACAAUAUGUUCUAGCGAUUUACGCAUAUUUGUAUCAUUUUUUGUGUGAUGAGUUUUAACACUUCAGCUA